GUGAGGAAUAUUGGUCAAUGGGCGGGAGCCUGAACCAGCCAAGUCGCGUGAAGGAAGAAGGAUCUAUGGUUCGUAAACUUCUUUUGCAGGGGAAUAAAGUGCAGGACGUGUCCUGUUUUGUAUGUACCCUGAGAAUAAGGAUCGGCUAACUCCGUGCCAGCAGCCACGGUAAUACGGAGGAUCCGAGCGUUAUCCGGAUUUAUUGGGUUUAAAGGGUGCGUAGGUGGUUUGAUAAGUCAGCGGUGAAAGUUUGCAGCUUAACUGUAAAAAUGCCGUUGAGACUGUCGGACUUGAGUGUAAAUGAGGUAGGCGGAAUGCGUGGUGUAGCGGUGAAAUGCAUAGAUAUCACGCAGAACUCCGAUUGCGAAGGCAGCUUACUAAGCUACAACUGACACUGAAGCACGAAAGCGUGGGGAUCAAACAGGAUUAGAAACCCGUGUAGUCC
Molecule: ribosomal RNA, 445 nt
Filed under: uncultured bacterium
Lineage: Bacteria
Description: partial 16S ribosomal RNA
Rfam family: Bacterial small subunit ribosomal RNA
Source: RNAcentral